Molecule: ribosomal RNA, 406 nt
Filed under: uncultured bacterium
Lineage: Bacteria
Description: partial 16S ribosomal RNA
Rfam family: Bacterial small subunit ribosomal RNA
Source: RNAcentral
AUUGAACGCUGGCGGCAGGCUUAACACAUGCAAGUCGAACGAGUGGCGGACGGGUGAGUAAUGUCUGGGAAACUGCCUUAUGGAGGGGGGUAACUACUGGAAACUGUAGCUAAUACCGCAUACCAUCGGAUGUGCCCAGAUGGGAUUAGGUAGUAGGUGGGGUAAUGGCCUACCUAGCCGACGAUCCCUAGCUGGUCUGAGAGGAUGACCAGCCACACUGGAACUGAGACACGGCCCAGACUCCUACGGGAGGCAGCAGUGGGGAAUAUUGCGCAAUGGGCGCAAGCCUGAUGCAGCCAUGCCGCGUGGAUGAAGAAGGCCUUCGGGUUGUAAAGUUCUUUCAGUGGGGAGGCGUUAAUCGCAGAAGAAGCACCGGCUAACUCCGUGCCAGCAGCCGCGGUAAUUC